This 1817-nucleotide long non-coding RNA is filed under the name Paramuricea clavata. Lineage: Eukaryota; Metazoa; Cnidaria; Anthozoa; Malacalcyonacea; Plexauridae. The record is from RNAcentral.
AUAAUAAUAAUAUUUUAUUUUCACACAAAUUGCUACACUAUAUUGGUAAAGCCGAAGCCAUAGGCUUAUUUGGCAAAACUAUUUAAGAGUAUAGCUCGUGGUCAGUACAGAGAAUUAAGUAUGACUUAUUCCAACUGAGUAUAUAAUAAAAAAAGAAAAAAAAACCCAACCGGAAAAAGCAUUUAAAUUAGUAUAGAUAAUUCAUGCUUUAUAGAAAGCAGUAUAUGCAGCAUAUAUACAGCCAAAUUUCAGUCCUUUUUAUCCCAGAGCCAUUCCACAUGCACAUGUCAACCAUUCUGAAAAGUUAAAUAGUAGUUCUUUAGAAUACGUCUAAAAUUUUGAGUUGUCAAUGAUUGCCGAAUUAAAAGAGGGAUAGAAUUCCAAUUUUUCGGGCCUUGCGCACGAAUGGAAAAAGAAUAUUUAUGGGAAAUGAUAUGCAAAUCCUGUCUAUGCCUUGUAAAAUGAUCAUGGAUGUUAUAAUUGAACUCAAAUAAGCAAGAAAUGGGUGAAGGAAGGAGAUUGUUAACGUGUCUAAAAAUAAAACACGAAAGUUGAAAUUCAUAAAUCUGAAAGACAGUGAGGAUAUUUAAUUCCUUAAAGAGUGGUUUGGAAGGAGUGAGAGGGGGAGAAUGUGUAAUAAUUCUCAUGAUUUUUUUUUGACAUCGAAGUAAAGGAUGAAGAUGUGUUGUGUAAGAUGAUCCCCAGAUAAUAGUGCAGUACUGUAAAUAAGGCAAGAUUAAAGAAUUGUAUAGUACUGAGAGUGUUGAUUUAUCAAGAGAAUGACGAGAUUUUGCAAUUAUUCCAAUGUUUUUGGAAAUUUUUGUAGUGAUUAAUUGUAUAUGUGGGAUCCAGGACAAAUUUUCCUGGAUAGUAAUUCCCAGAAAUAUGGUUUGGCUAACCCUUUCUAUUAGAUGUCCAUUGAUUUUUACCUCAUCCUGUGGGUCGAUGUUUUUUUUCCUGCUGGGAUGAAAGAGUAUAAACUUGGUUUUAUCUGGAUGCAAUGUAAGUUUAUUUGCCCUAAGCCAAGAAGCAACUUUAACAAGUUCAUGGUUGAGUGUGUUAAUGAGGGACGUUAUGUUAUUGUCACUACAAAAUAUAUUUGUGUCAUCUGCGAAUAGUAUAAAGGAUAGGCAGUUGGAUGUAUUAAAUAUAUCAUUUAUAAACACAAGAAAAAGUAAUGGUCCAAGAACCGAACCUUGGGGAACUCCGCAUUUAAUAAUUUUAGGUGAAGAUUGAACAUUGUUAAUUUCAACAUAUUGAGAUCUUUGACUAAGGUAACUUUUAAUCCAUGAAAGAGCAUUACCACGAAAACCAUAAAAAGACAUUUUGUCAAUUAGGAUGUCAUGGUUGACAGUAUCAAAAGCCUUUUUAAGAUCUAGAAACACGCCAACAGUUAGCUUAUUAUUUUCAAAACCAUGAUAUAUUCCGUUUACCAGUUCGAGUAUAGCCAUGAACGUAGAAUGAUUUUUUUCUAGAGCCAUAUUGGUGGUGGUUUAUAAUUUGAAACUUAUAUAGGAAAUCCAUGAAUCUCUUAUACAUCACCUUUUCAAGUAUUUUUGAGAAACAAGGAAGAAUAGAAAUCGGUCUAAAGUUGGAAAAAUUAUGACAAUCAUUGCUUUUGUAAAUAGGCAAAACCUUAGCAAUUUUUAGCUGGUUGGGUACACUACCAUUGGCCAUUGAAGAGUUGAAUAUGUAACACAAUGGUACUGCAAGUAUGUGAAUACUCGUUUUAAUGAUAGGCGUUCUAAUACCGUCUACCCCUUCACUGUAACUAUUUUUCAACGAAUUAGUGAUAGUUAUAAUUUCAGAAGGGGAAG